This 497-nucleotide ribosomal RNA is filed under the name uncultured bacterium. RNAcentral's name for it is "partial 16S ribosomal RNA". It matches the Rfam family "Bacterial small subunit ribosomal RNA", at positions 28 to 507 of the family's 1533-position model. The record is from RNAcentral.
GAUGAACGCUGGCGGCGUGCCUAAUACAUGCAAGUCGAGCGAACAGACGAGGAGCUUGCUCCUCUGACGUUAGCGGCGGACGGGUGAGUAACACGUGGAUAACCUACCUAUAAGACUGGGAUAACUUCGGGAAACCGGAGCUAAUACCGGAUAAUAUAUUGAACCGCAUGGUUCAAUAGUGAAAGACGGUUUUGCUGUCACUUAUAGAUGGAUCCGCGCCGCAUUAGCUAGUUGGUAAGGUAACGGCUUACCAAGGCAACGAUGCGUAGCCGACCUGAGAGGGUGAUCGGCCACACUGGAACUGAGACACGGUCCAGACUCCUAAGGGAGGCAGCAGUAGGGAAUCUUCCGCAAUGGGCGAAGGCCUGACGGAGCAACGCCGCGUGAGUGAUGAAGGUCUUCGGAUCAUAAAACUCUGUUAUUAGGGAAGAACAAAUGUGUAAGUAACUAUGCACGUCUUGACGGUACCUAAUCAGAAAGCCACGGCUAACUACGUG